GCCGUCGUGGCGGAAUGGUAGACGCCACGGACUUAAAAUCCGUUGAGGGGCAACCCUCGUGGGGGUUCGAGUCCCCCCGGCGGCA
This 85-nucleotide transfer RNA is filed under the name Luteolibacter sp. Its description in RNAcentral is "tRNA-Leu". It matches the Rfam family "tRNA". From Rfam's summary of the family: Transfer RNA (tRNA) molecules are approximately 80 nucleotides in length. Lineage: Bacteria; Pseudomonadati; Verrucomicrobiota; Verrucomicrobiia; Verrucomicrobiales; Verrucomicrobiaceae. The record is from RNAcentral.